This 200-nucleotide ribosomal RNA is filed under the name uncultured bacterium. RNAcentral's name for it is "partial 16S ribosomal RNA". It matches the Rfam family "Bacterial small subunit ribosomal RNA", at positions 8 to 210 of the family's 1533-position model. The record is from RNAcentral.
AGAGUUUGAUCCUGGCUCAGGACGAACGCUGGCGGCGUGCUUAACACAUGCAAGUCGAGCGGAAAGGCCCUUCGGGGUACUCGAGCGGCGAACGGGUGAGUAACACGUGAGCAACCUGCCCCUGGCUCUGGGAUAGCUCCGGGAAACCGGGAUUAAUACCGGACAUGACCCUGCGCGGCAUCGCAAUGGGUGGAAAGUUU